Molecule: small nuclear RNA, 87 nt
Gene: U2
Rfam family: U2 spliceosomal RNA
About the family: U2 is a small nuclear RNA (snRNA) component of the spliceosome (involved in pre-mRNA splicing). Complementary binding between U2 snRNA (in an area lying towards the 5' end but 3' to hairpin I) and the branchpoint sequence (BPS) of the intron results the bulging out of an unpaired adenosine, on the BPS, which initiates a nucleophilic attack at the intronic 5' splice site, thus starting the first of two transesterification reactions that mediate splicing.
Source: Ensembl
AUCACUUCUCGGCCUUUUGGCUAAGAUCAAGUGUAAAAUAUGUCCACAAAUUAUUUUAUGCUCUUCUUUUCAAGAGGCGGAACUUAA